ACUCAAAUAGUUUAAGUCAAAAAUGUUAGCUUGUGGCGCUUAAGAUGUAGUUAUACUUUGAGUU
This 64-nucleotide transfer RNA is filed under the name Thalamita sima. Its description in RNAcentral is "tRNA-His". It matches the Rfam family "tRNA". Rfam says of the family: Transfer RNA (tRNA) molecules are approximately 80 nucleotides in length. Their secondary structure includes four short double-helical elements and three loops (D, anti-codon, and T loops). Further hydrogen bonds mediate the characteristic L-shaped molecular structure. tRNAs have two regions of fundamental functional importance: the anti-codon, which is responsible for specific mRNA codon recognition, and the 3' end, to which the tRNAs corresponding amino acid is attached (by aminoacyl-tRNA synthetases). tRNAs cope with the degeneracy of the genetic code in two manners: having more than one tRNA (with a specific anti-codon) for a particular amino acid; and 'wobble' base-pairing, i.e. permitting non-standard base-pairing at the 3rd anti-codon position. The record is from RNAcentral. Lineage: Eukaryota; Metazoa; Arthropoda; Malacostraca; Decapoda; Portunidae.